AGUGAACGCUGGCGGUAGGCCUAACACAUGCAAGUCGAACGGCAGCACAGUAAGAGCUUGCUCUUACGGGUGGCGAGUGGCGGACGGGUGAGGAAUACAUCGGAAUCUACUUUUUCGUGGGGGAUAACGUAGGGAAACUUACGCUAAUACCGCAUACGACCUACGGGUGAAAGCAGGGGAUCUUCGGACCUUGCGCGAUUGAAUGAGCCGAUGUCGGAUUAGCUAGUUGGCGGGGUAAAGGCCCACCAAGGCAACGAUCCGUAGCUGGUCUGAGAGGAUGAUCAGCCACACUGGAACUGAGACACGGUCCAGACUCCUACGGGAGGCAGCAGUGGGGAAUAUUGGACAAUGGGCGAAAGCCUGAUCCAGCCAUACCGCGUGGGUGAAGAAGGCCUUCGGGUUGUAAAGCCCUGUUGUUGGGAAAGAAAAGCAGCAGGUUAAUACCCCGCUGUUCUGACGGUACCCAAAGAAUAAGCACCGGCUAACUUCGUG
This 492-nucleotide ribosomal RNA is filed under the name uncultured bacterium. RNAcentral describes it as "partial 16S ribosomal RNA". It matches the Rfam family "Bacterial small subunit ribosomal RNA", at positions 29 to 507 of the family's 1533-position model. The record is from RNAcentral.